GGCGGUGUAGCUCAGCUGGCUAGAGCGUACGGUUCAUACCCGUAAGGUCGGGGGUUCGAUCCCCUCCGCCGCUACUA
RNAcentral lists this transfer RNA (77 nucleotides) under Heyndrickxia sporothermodurans. RNAcentral's name for it is "Bacillus sporothermodurans tRNA-Met". It matches the Rfam family "tRNA". Rfam says of the family: Transfer RNA (tRNA) molecules are approximately 80 nucleotides in length. Their secondary structure includes four short double-helical elements and three loops (D, anti-codon, and T loops). Further hydrogen bonds mediate the characteristic L-shaped molecular structure. tRNAs have two regions of fundamental functional importance: the anti-codon, which is responsible for specific mRNA codon recognition, and the 3' end, to which the tRNAs corresponding amino acid is attached (by aminoacyl-tRNA synthetases). tRNAs cope with the degeneracy of the genetic code in two manners: having more than one tRNA (with a specific anti-codon) for a particular amino acid; and 'wobble' base-pairing, i.e. permitting non-standard base-pairing at the 3rd anti-codon position. The record is from RNAcentral. Lineage: Bacteria; Bacillati; Bacillota; Bacilli; Caryophanales; Bacillaceae. RNAcentral also lists the same sequence under 1 other name.